UACGUAGGGGGCUAGCGUUGUCCGGAAUCAUUGGGCGUAAAGCGCGUGUAGGCGGUUCGGUAAGUCCGCUGUGAAAGUCGGGGGCUCAACCCUCGAAUGCCGGUGGAUACUGUCGGACUAGAGUACGGAAGAGGCGAGUGGAAUUCCUGGUGUAGCGGUGAAAUGCGUAGAGAUCGGAAAGAACACCAACGGCGAAAGCACUCUGCUGGGCCGACACUGACACUGAGAGACGAAAGCUAGGGGAGCGAAUGGG
This 253-nucleotide ribosomal RNA is filed under the name uncultured bacterium. Its description in RNAcentral is "partial 16S ribosomal RNA". It matches the Rfam family "Bacterial small subunit ribosomal RNA", at positions 524 to 776 of the family's 1533-position model. The record is from RNAcentral.